GUGGAAGCGUCUGGAAAGGCGCGCGAUACAGGGUGACAGCCCCGUACACAAAAGCGCAUGUGUUGUGAGCUCGAUGAGUAGGGCGGGACACGUGGUAUCCUGUCUGAAUAUGGGGGGACCAUCCUCCAAGGCUAAAUACUCCUGACUGACCGAUAGUGAACCAGUACCGUGAGGGAAAGGCGAAAAGAACCCCGGCGAGGGGAGUGAAAAAGAACCUGAAACCGUGUACGUACAAGCAGUGGGAGCACAGGUUUACCUGUGUGACUGCGUACCUUUUGUAUAAUGGGUCAGCGACUUAUAUUCUGUAGCAAGGUUAACUGUAUAGGGGAGCCGGA
Molecule: ribosomal RNA, 335 nt
Filed under: Salmonella enterica subsp. enterica serovar Paratyphi B
Lineage: Bacteria; Pseudomonadati; Pseudomonadota; Gammaproteobacteria; Enterobacterales; Enterobacteriaceae
Description: partial 23S ribosomal RNA
Rfam family: Bacterial large subunit ribosomal RNA
Source: RNAcentral